RNAcentral lists this ribosomal RNA (425 nucleotides) under uncultured bacterium. RNAcentral describes it as "bacterial SSU rRNA". It matches the Rfam family "Bacterial small subunit ribosomal RNA", at positions 354 to 796 of the family's 1533-position model. The record is from RNAcentral.
GUGGGGAAUCUUGCGCAAUGGGCGAAAGCCUGACGCAGCCAUGCCGCGUGAAUGAUGAAGGUCUUAGGAUUGUAAAAUUCUUUCACCGGGGACGAUAAUGACGGUACCCGGAGAAGAAGCUCCGGCUAACUUCGUGCCAGCAGCCGCGGUAAUACGAAGGGGGCUAGCGUUGCUCGGAAUUACUGGGCGUAAAGGGCGCGUAGGCGGACAGCUUAGUCAGAGGUGAAAGCCCAGGGCUCAACCUUGGAAUUGCCUUUGAUACUGGCUGUCUUGAGUUUGGUAGAGGUGAGUGGAACUCCGAGUGUAGAGGUGAAAUUCGUAGAUAUUCGGAAGAACACCAGUGGCGAAGGCGACUCACUGGCCCAAUACUGACGCUGAGGCGCGAAAGCGUGGGGAGCAAACAGGAUUAGAAACCCUUGUAGUCC